UACGUAGGGGGCAAGCGUUAUCCGGAAUUACUGGGUGUAAAGGGAGCGUAGACGGUAAUGUAAGUCUGGAGUGAAAGGCGGGGGCCCAACCCCCGGACUGCUCUGGAAACUAUGUUACUAGAGUGCAGGAGAGGUAAGCGGAAUUCCUAGUGUAGCGGUGAAAUGCGUAGAUAUUAGGAGGAGCACCAGUGGCGAAGGCGGCUUACUGGACUGUAACUGACGUUGAGGCUCGAAAGCGUGGGUAGCAAACAGG
RNAcentral lists this ribosomal RNA (253 nucleotides) under uncultured bacterium. RNAcentral describes it as "partial 16S ribosomal RNA". It matches the Rfam family "Bacterial small subunit ribosomal RNA", at positions 524 to 776 of the family's 1533-position model. The record is from RNAcentral.